Molecule: long non-coding RNA, 550 nt
Organism: Rhagoletis zephyria (snowberry fruit fly)
Lineage: Eukaryota; Metazoa; Arthropoda; Insecta; Diptera; Tephritidae
Source: RefSeq, a predicted model, not a curated record
AAUAAUUUAAGCCGUCUCCGAAUGGCAAAUUGUUUUUAUGAGCUUUCAAGGCAGAAAUAGACUCGGAUUAUUGCCUGCAGAGCGGCGACCGCUGUUGGAAAACUUUUUAUAAUUUACGUGUUGCUAGGGCCAGGGAUCUAACCCAGGUCUUACGGAGUGGUAGUACGCGCCUCUACCCACUCAGCAACCACGGCCAGCGUAAAUUUAUUUUGGAAAGGGUAUACACAUUGGUUUCAGUCAAGUUACAGAAAUUUUUUAAAUCAAAAAAAUUACAUGGUAAAUUUCAGAAAUACAAAAAACGCGAAAUUAAAAAGUUGCCGAUUAUAUAAAGUUGGUAUCGCCCGACCUUAGCUUUGUUUACCUAUUACUUUUGCUAUAUUUUUAAAUAAAUAUGUUUUUAAAUAUGUAUUAAGACUUAGUUUUUACUGAAGAAGACAAGCUUUGUAUACUAUAUAUAAUUACUUUAUUACUUUUAACCGGAUUGACAGUUCGUGGGCAUAUUAUGUCUUGUGAUAUUCGAAUACUAGAGAUAAAAAAAAUUUCCAAAAAA